This 2307-nucleotide long non-coding RNA is filed under the name Macaca mulatta (Rhesus monkey). RNAcentral describes it as "lncRNA (ENSMMUG00000051620.1)". The record is from RNAcentral. Lineage: Eukaryota; Metazoa; Chordata; Mammalia; Primates; Cercopithecidae.
AACACACUAUGGAAGAACUGCUGCUUGGAGAGGACUGUAUCUAUCUCUUUUAUGAGUGAAGCUGCAUGAAGGAGGCAAACUUUGCAAAAAAACAGCUGAAUAUUUGGAUGAAAAGUGAGGGAGACACUGACAGAGAGAUUGAAUGGCACCGCCACCACCAGAGGAAUCACUGGAAAAGGAAGCAGGAGGACACUUGGGUACAAGGGAAAUGAUAAGAAAAGUAUAAAGCUGCAGGAGCAGAAUGUUACCUCCGUUUCUGUCCUCCUCUUUGUUCUUAUAGCCCAGUUGUCUUCCUCUUGACCCUGUCUUUGCAUUGCAUGGGAAAUAGUACAACUUUGAGUCAUCCCCACCUGGGCUCAGAUGAGAUAGCUGACAUUGACUAGAAGUACAACCUUGGCCAUAUUAUGUAAUAUCUCUGAGCCUAUGGAUAACGGUAUGGUUGUCCCUGGAGUCUGGGAUAACUAGGACAAUGCCAGGCACGUAGGUUCCAACCAUAUAGACCAUCUAAUCUGAUGAAAGAGAUACCCCUACUGAAAUGCACUGAAUAUUUUUGAACACCUACUAUUUCUAAGAGGAUAUGAUUUGAAAGCCAGGAUAGGAAGAUUUGAUGCAAAUUUGAUUGUUGCAUGGGGCCUUGAAUAAUAUCCUGGAAAAGCAUAUGCCUUUGAUCCUGGGUUAUGAUUUCAAUUAGAUUUUUCCUACUAUGUCAAAUGGUGAUAUAAAGUCAAAUAAAACUUUAUAACAUGAAUUAAAAGUUGCUACUUUCCACCUCUACUCAUUUUUCAUGUGACUUCAGAGGAACUAUUAGAAGACCAUGUGACAAACUGAUCCCCUACUUUCUUAAUAAUAAGAAGAAGAGUAAUGGUUGUAGACUCUAAAGACUGCAUCCUACAUGGCCUAAGUUAACUGAUAUAUGUUAUUUCAUUUAGUCCUUACUACACAACUGUGACCUCAUUGUUAUUUUUAGCCUCACUUUACAUAAAGGGGUUUUGAAUCUUACAGACAUUGGAUAACUUGACGAAGGCUACACAGUUAUCCAAUGGCUGAGUGGGGAGUCAAACUCAGGAACAUGAAAUCUGUCUUGACCAGUCUUCAAGCCCAGAUGCUCUACCACCUGCUUUCCACUCCUAGAUGGUCCACCUCUGUCUGAUUUUGCUGUUUGUUUCACUGGGAAAACCUGCUGCCGUGAAGCAAGUCACUGUCUUUCAGAGGGCAGAAAGGGAGCUCUUAAAUUGCUUCUAGUAGACUUAACAGAAACAUGGGCUGUUUGUAAAACAGUGAUUCUCAACUUUGGCUGCAGAGUAGAAGUACUUAGGGAUCUUUAAUAUUGGUUUCAAAGUUUCGCCCCAGGGUCCUGAUUUACUGGCCCCUCCUAGGUAUGAGAAGUGUCAAUUCCUUCCAGUGAUUCUAUUUGGAAAGUACUGCUCUACAGCUUUAGGCCUCACUCACUCUCCUUUCUGACUGCAUAGCCUAGUGGAAUCCUGUGGUCCUGGUCCCGAACUGGAGAUACAUGGCAUUUGAGUAGUCUAAAAAUUCUAGGUUUGGAAAGGAUGAGAAAAUGAUGGUGCUGCUGCUGAUGAUGUAACACUUAAUGAAAGUUGCUCAAUGCUUGUCAUUUACAUAUAUUUGAACAUAUUAUUAAGUUUUGUUACCCUUUAUAUUUAUUCAAAAUGAAGGGGUUAGAAAAUUGAAAUUAUUUGACCCAAAUCCAAGCCAGGUAUGUCACAACAUUGUGGGUGACUUUAAAUAUGUGCUUUUAAUUGCAAGAGUAAAGUCAUGAGGUAUGAAAGGAUGGUUAAGUUUGAGGCUAUUAAUGAUUGUUGCAUGACUGAGGUACAAUUUUAUGCAAGAGGUUACUAUAUUAUAAUGAUCAGUUAGUGGGUGACAGAGUGAAGUGGCACGAAGUGGUGGGUUUUAGUUUCAGUCAACUCUCUUUGGAGGAAUGUCAGUUACCACAAAAGAAAUCUGCUCUUAGGUGCUACAAGCCAAAUAUAUUAGAGCUUGCAGGAGAAUUAUUCGAAGGAGAAGAACCAAGAUCUCAGCCACAGGACAGAGAUCAGAGUUCAGGAAGGAAGGCUUAAGGGGGAGUGCCAGACAGGCUAGAGGGUCAACUUUGACAAAAGAGACACCGUAGGUAUCUGAAGGUCAAGGAGAAGAAUUUGUUUCUAAAAUAAAAGAGUGGCAAGGAAAUCAAAGAGCUCUCAAGGAUCUCCGGCUCUUUAUGGACUUCCUCUGAAUAUCAUCUCUGUACUUGGGUUUGCUCCUGUGUUAAAGUCAAACAACAAAAGACUAAGAGGUAAGAUGAGG